CCUACGGGUGGCAGCAGUGAGGAAUAUUGGUCAAUGGACGCAAGUCUGAACCAGCCAUGCCGCGUGAGUGAAGAAGUAUUUCGGUACGUAAAGCUCUAUCAGCAGGGAAGAAAAUGACGGUACCUGACUAAGAAGCCCCGGCUAACUACGUGCCAGCAGCCGCGGUAAGACGUAGGGGGCAAGCGUUAUCCGGAUUUACUGGGUGGACAGGGAGCGUAGACGGCAGCGCAAGUCUGAAGUGAAAUCCCAUGGCUUAACCAUGGAACUGCUUUGGAAACUGUGCAGCUGGAGUGCAGGAGAGGUAAGCGGAAUUCCUAGUGUAGCGGUGAAAUGCGUAGAUAUUAGGAGGAACACCAGUGGCGAAGGCGGCUUACUGGACUGUAACUGACGUUGAGGCUCGAAAGCGUGGGGAGCAAACAGGAUUAGAUACCCGUGUAGUC
Molecule: ribosomal RNA, 440 nt
Filed under: uncultured bacterium
Lineage: Bacteria
Description: partial 16S ribosomal RNA
Rfam family: Bacterial small subunit ribosomal RNA
Source: RNAcentral